Molecule: small nuclear RNA, 132 nt
Filed under: Heterocephalus glaber (naked mole-rat)
Lineage: Eukaryota; Metazoa; Chordata; Mammalia; Rodentia; Bathyergidae
Description: U4 spliceosomal RNA (ENSHGLG00100024484.2)
Rfam family: U4 spliceosomal RNA
About the family: U4 small nuclear RNA (U4 snRNA) is a component of the major U2-dependent spliceosome.
Source: RNAcentral
GCUUUUGCGCAGCAGCAGUAUCAUAGCCAGUGAGGUUUAUCUGAGGCGGAUUAUUGCUCAUUGAAAACUUUUCCCAGUUUACUGCAACCUGGGAUUGGGUUUGCAGCUGGGACCGUUAAAAUCAAUAUUUUG